AUGGGCGAAGCCUGAUCCAGCCAUGCCGCGUGAGUGAUGAAGGCCUUCGGGUUGUAAAGCUCUUUCGCCUGGGAAGAUGAUGACGGUACCAGGAGAAUAAGCCCCGGCUAACUUCUUG
This 118-nucleotide ribosomal RNA is filed under the name uncultured bacterium. RNAcentral describes it as "partial 16S ribosomal RNA". It matches the Rfam family "Bacterial small subunit ribosomal RNA", at positions 371 to 507 of the family's 1533-position model. The record is from RNAcentral.